UACGGAGGGGGCUAGCGUUGUUCGGAAUUACUGGGCGUAAAGCGUACGUAGGCGGCUUUUUAAGUCGGAUGUGAAAUCCCUGAGCUUAACUUAGGAAUUGCAUUCGAUACUGGGAAGCUAGAGUAUGGGAGAGGAUGGUAGAAUUCCAGGUGUAGCGGUGAAAUGCGUAGAGAUCUGGAGGAAUACCGAUGGCGAAGGCAGCCAUCUGGCCUAAUACUGACGCUGAGGUACGAAAGCAUGGGGAGCAAACAGG
This 253-nucleotide ribosomal RNA is filed under the name uncultured Acinetobacter sp. Its description in RNAcentral is "partial 16S ribosomal RNA". It matches the Rfam family "Bacterial small subunit ribosomal RNA", at positions 524 to 776 of the family's 1533-position model. The record is from RNAcentral. Lineage: Bacteria; Pseudomonadati; Pseudomonadota; Gammaproteobacteria; Moraxellales; Moraxellaceae.